RNAcentral lists this ribosomal RNA (482 nucleotides) under uncultured Methanosaeta sp. RNAcentral describes it as "bacterial SSU rRNA". It matches the Rfam family "Archaeal small subunit ribosomal RNA", at positions 856 to 1338 of the family's 1478-position model. Lineage: Archaea; Methanobacteriati; Methanobacteriota; Methanomicrobia; Methanotrichales; Methanotrichaceae. The record is from RNAcentral.
UUAAAGGAAUUGACGGGGGAGCACCACAACGGGUGGAGCUUGCGGUUUAAUUGGAUUCAACGCCGGAAAUCUUACCGGGACCGACAGCAAUAUGAAGGCCAGGCUGAAGACUUUGCCGGAUUAGCUGAGAGGUGGUGCAUGGCCGUCGUCAGUUCGUACUGUGAAGCAUCCUGUUAAGUCAGGCAACGAGCGAGACCCACGCCCACAGUUGCCAGCGUACUCUCCGGAGUGACGGGUACACUGUGGGACCGCCGCUGCUAAAGCGGAGGAAGGAAUGGGCAACGGUAGGUCAGUAUGCCCCGAAUAUCCCGGGCUACACGCGAGCUACAAUGGUUGGUACAAUGGGUAUCUACCCCGAAAGGGGACGGGAAUCUCCUAAAACCAAUCUUAGUUCGGAUUGAGGGCUGCAACUCGCCCUCAUGAAGCUGGAAUCCGUAGUAAUCGCGUUUCAACAGAACGCGGUGAAUACGUCCCUGCUCCUU